RNAcentral lists this ribosomal RNA (621 nucleotides) under uncultured Chloroflexota bacterium. RNAcentral describes it as "bacterial SSU rRNA". It matches the Rfam family "Bacterial small subunit ribosomal RNA", at positions 339 to 974 of the family's 1533-position model. The record is from RNAcentral. Lineage: Bacteria; Bacillati; Chloroflexota.
CUACGGGAGGCAGCAGCAAGGAAUUUUCCGCAAUGGGCGCAAGCCUGACGGAGCAACGCCGCGUGCGGGAUGACGCCUUUCGGGGUGUAAACCGCUGUUCGGGGGGACGAAGCACUGACGGUACCCCCGGAGGAAGGCCCGGCUAACUACGUGCCAGCAGCCGCGGUAAUACGUAGGGGUCGAGCGUUGUCCGGAGUUACUGGGCGUAAAGCGUGCGCAGGCGGCGCAUCGCGCCCGACGUGAAAGCCCCCGGCCCAACCGGGGAGGGUCGUCGGGGACGGGUGCGCUUGAGGGUAUCAGGGGCUGGUGGAAUUCCCGGUGUAGUGGUGAAAUGCGUAGAGAUCGGGAGGAACACCCGUGGCGAAGGCGGCCAGCUGGGCUGGACCUGACGCUGAGGCACGAAGGCGUGGGGAGCGAACGGGAUUAGAUACCCCGGUAGUCCACGCAGUAAACGAUGCCGACUAGGCGUGGGGGGACUUGACCCCCUCCGUGCCGGAGCUAACGCGGGAAGUCUGCCGCCUGGGGAGUACGGCCGCAAGGCUGAAACUCAAAGGAAUUGACGGGGGCCCGCACAAGCGGCGGAGCAUGUUGUUUAAUUCGUCGCAACGCGAAGAACCUUAC